Octodon degus (degu) is the source of this 2024-nucleotide RNA transcript. It is a transcript of the gene named sialic acid-binding Ig-like lectin 13, with no coding region annotated. Lineage: Eukaryota; Metazoa; Chordata; Mammalia; Rodentia; Octodontidae. The record is from RefSeq and is a predicted model, not a curated record. The transcript has 7 exons.
ACUGGUGUCUCUUGUUCUUUCCUGCUCCGUGUCCCACGGUGCUUCCGAGCUCUGCUCCUCCCCUCUGUGCUCACCCGCAAAUGCCCGCGAGCCUGCGCAUCUGACAUGCUGCUGCCUCUGCUGGCCCUGCUGUGGGCAGGGUCUCUGGCUGUGCACCCAAGAUACAUGCCAGAUCUGGUGUCAGUGCAGGAGGGCCUGUGCGCGCUUCUACCCUGCCAGUUCUAUUUCCGCUUCUCCUCCCUACGUGACUUUGCCACUGGCUCCUGGCUCCGGGAUGGGUCUGAUCGUCUUCGCUACUCUCCAGUAGCCACAAACAACCCUCAACAACAAGUGCCAGGGGAGGUUCAGGGCAGGUUCCGCCUCCUCUGGGACUUACAGACCAGAAAUUGCUCCCUUCUCAUCAGGGAUGCUCAGAGCCGCGACAGUGGCUCUUACUUCUUUCAGAUGCACCCAGAAAAUUUUGGAAGAAAUUUUUAUCCGAAUCCUCUUACUGUGAAUGUCACAGCCCUGACUCAUACCCCUGACAUCCUCAUCCAUGGGCCUUUAGAGUCUGGCCGUCCCAGCAACCUGACCUGCUCUGUGCCCUGGGCCUGUGAACACGGGACUCCCCCCAUCUUCUCCUGGCAGGGGCCCUCUGUGUCACACCUGGGUCCCACCGUCACCAACUCCCCAGUGCUCAUGCUCACCCCACAGCCCCAGGACCAUGGCACCACCCUCACCUGUCAGGUGACUCUGCCUGGAGCUGGCGUGAUCGUGGAGAAGACGGUGCAGCUCAAUGUCACCUAUUCCACAAGGAGCUCCACAGUUGAUAUCUCCCCGGGACCCAGCUCAGGGAAAUCAGAGCCCAUGGCCGAGGUGGUGCUGGUAACCAUUGUGGAGGUGGCUGUCAAGAUCCUGCUUCUUGGGCUCUGCCUCUUCUUCCUCAGAAUGAAGUACCAAAGGAAGAAGGUGGCAAGACCACAAGUGAACUUGGACACUGCCAUGAAUUAAACUCUCAAGUGAGCGAACUCUGCGAACCCCACAUCCCUUCAGCCACCUCCAUCACGAUGACCCCAGAACUGCCAGCAAACAGGCAUGAGCAAUCACCCUUUAUGAUGCUGAGCCCUCUUCCACUGCUGGGGUCCAGUGAUGCUCAUGGCUGAUGGCCCCACAUAUAAAGCCGGAUGAGGGCGUGUUCACUACAACCUCCCUUCAUCUCCCUCAUCUCACAGAUCACUAACUGAUCUUUCUUUCCUCCUGAACCUGAGCUGGACCAAGUCCUUCUCCAUCCUGACCACAGUCAUUCCUGGGCCUCGUCUCUCCCCUGACCACUGAAGCCACCUCACUGCUGCUUCAUCUCUCCUGACACCAGCCUCCAGGAUGUGACUGCAGACUCCGUCAUCACGCACUGCCUGCACAUGUCCUCUCCACGGGCAGAGAUGGGCCUUGGUGCACCAAUUCCAAGCAUCUCAAGAGUGCUACUGCCUAGAUCCCACCACAAUGCUUCUCUCCCGGAGAAUUUCUAAAGGAUGUGAUCACUAAGGAGAAGAGGACACUGGGGACAGUCCCAGAACACUACAUGGAACAACUGGAAGGAAGGCAGCCCUUUGUAAAGAACAGGGUUCUAAGAAAAGAGAGUAAUCUUUAGAAGCCUUCUGAAACCCCAUAGGAAUCCAGGCAGAGAGCUGGAGAAAGAAGUGGGGAGAGAGAAGGGCCCACGCUGAGGUGAAGGAGCCCACAGGGGAGGCAAGAAGAGGACAGAAGAAACACACAUGGGGUCAGAGAAAUACACUUAUCACCCACGAUCUUCACAGCAGCAGUUUCUCUUCAUUUAUUAACUGUAAUAAUUUUUGUGUUGCCUUUAGAUAUCUAUAGGAAAUAUUUCUGGCCUAUUGAGGUAUAAGUGACAAAUAAAAGCUCAGACACUUUUAGUAUGCAAUGUGAUUUUUGUGGAUAGCCACUUCAACAGUUUAUCAUUUUUGUGAUUGAUGUCAUUAUCUUGCAGAUGAACAGAAGCUGUAGAUGCAAUGCUUUGCAAGAGAGCC